This 356-nucleotide ribosomal RNA is filed under the name uncultured Pseudomonadales bacterium. Its description in RNAcentral is "bacterial LSU rRNA". It matches the Rfam family "Bacterial large subunit ribosomal RNA", at positions 100 to 505 of the family's 2925-position model. Lineage: Bacteria; Pseudomonadati; Pseudomonadota; Gammaproteobacteria; Pseudomonadales. The record is from RNAcentral.
UGAUCCGGAGAUGUCUGAAUGGGGAAACCCACUUACCAUAAGGUAGGUAUCGCAACAUGAAUACAUAGUGUUGCGAGGCGAACGAGGGGAAGUGAAACAUCUCAGUACCCUUAGGAAAAGAAAUCAAUUGAGAUUCCCGUAGUAGCGGCGAGCGAACUGGGAUAAGCCCAUUAAGUCUAGUGUGUUUUAGAGGAAUGAGAUGGAAAUCUCAGCCGUAGUAGGUGAUAGCCCUGUACUUAAAAGGGCACAUUAGAUGAAUCGAGUAGGGCGGGACACGUGAUAUCCUGUCUGAACAUGGGGGGACCAUCCUCCAAGGCUAAAUACUCCUGACUGACCGAUAGUGAACCAGUACCGUG